CAACAGAAGUGACAAAACUGUAGCAAGUUAACCGUGAGAGUUGGUACACCAGAACCAUAUAGCCUCCAGUUAAAAGAAUAUGAAUUGACCAGAACAAUUACCGAAUGUCAAUACAUCUUUGAUAUUAGGUUAAAAAAUGCUAAAACUUGUGUUUGAGUAUGUUCUUCCAAGUAUUUGUGAAGCUAUAAAGAGCAAAGUAGACUGCAAAUAACUAGUGAGACAAUUUUCUAGCAGAUUUCUAUUCAAGCCUUCAAUGCACGCACGUAAUAAUUAAAACUAAACAACAAGCCCGCUACUCCUAGAAGGGAAAUCAAAACUAAGUCACGUAUAUAAAUCUGAAGCUCCAAGUCGAAAUUUCAUAACUUGGAUAAAAAUUGAAUAAAGCAACACCUAGGAGUUUCCAUACUCAUAUAAGAUAAUCAAUGACCUGAUAUAAAACAUAAUUUGGAACCGUAGGGAGAAGUAAAACAGCAAAGAAACAAAAACUCUAAAGCCCUAAAACAAAUGUACAAAAACAUGAACCCUAACCAGGAUCGCACUGUUGAUAAAACUCUUCCACAUCAGUGGUGA
This 570-nucleotide unclassified non-coding RNA is filed under the name Hevea brasiliensis (rubber tree). The record is from RNAcentral. Lineage: Eukaryota; Viridiplantae; Streptophyta; Magnoliopsida; Malpighiales; Euphorbiaceae.